CCUUGCCAGCCCGCUCAGAACUUAAAUGAAUUGACGGGGGCCCGCACAAGCGGUGGAGCAUGUGGUUUAAUUCGAUGAUACGCGAGGAACCUUACCUGGGCUCAAAUGUAUGUUGACGUAUUCUGAAAGGGAUACUUCUUCGGACAAUAUACAAGGUGCUGCAUGGUUGUCGUCAGCUCGUGCCGUGAGGUGUCGGGUUAAGUCCCAUAACGAGCGCAACCCCUAUCAUUAGUUGCCAUCAGGUCAAGCUGGGGACUCUAAUGAAACUGCCUACGCAAGUAGUGAGGAAGGUGGGGAUGACGUCAAAUCAGCACGGCCCUUACGUCCAGGGCUACACACGUGCUACAAUGGCCGGUACAAAGGGUUGCCAAGCCGCGAGGUGGAGCUAAUCCCAUAAAACCGAUCGUAGUCCGGAUCGCAGUCUGCAACUCGACUGCGUGAAGUCGGAAUCGCUAGUAAUCGUGAAUCAGAAUGUCACGGUGAAUACGUUCCCGGGCCUU
This 500-nucleotide ribosomal RNA is filed under the name uncultured Sphingobacteriales bacterium. Its description in RNAcentral is "bacterial SSU rRNA". It matches the Rfam family "Bacterial small subunit ribosomal RNA", at positions 903 to 1382 of the family's 1533-position model. Lineage: Bacteria; Pseudomonadati; Bacteroidota; Sphingobacteriia; Sphingobacteriales. The record is from RNAcentral.